This 425-nucleotide ribosomal RNA is filed under the name uncultured bacterium. RNAcentral's name for it is "partial 16S ribosomal RNA". It matches the Rfam family "Bacterial small subunit ribosomal RNA", at positions 354 to 796 of the family's 1533-position model. The record is from RNAcentral.
GUGGGGAAUCUUGCGCAAUGGGCGAAAGCCUGACGCAGCCAUGCCGCGUGAAUGAUGAAGGUCUUAGGAUUGUAAAAUUCUUUCACCGGUGAAGAUAAUGACUGUAGCCGGAGAAGAAGCCCCGGCUAACUUCGUGCCAGCAGCCGCGGUAAUACGAAGGGGGCUAGCGUUGCUCGGAUUUACUGGGCGUAAAGGGCGCGUAGGCGGACAUUUAAGUCAGGGGUGAAAUCCCGGGGCUCAACCUCGGAACUGCCUUUGAUACUGGGUGUCUUGAGUAUGAGAGAGGUGUGUGGAACUCCGAGUGUAGAGGUGAAAUUCGUAGAUAUUCGGAAGAACACCAGUGGCGAAGGCGACACACUGGCUCAUUACUGACGCUGAGGCGCGAAAGCGUGGGGAGCAAACAGGAUUAGAUACCCGAGUAGUCC